AUGCAUCUCGUCGACUUCGUCUCCGCGGUGGCAGCGCUCGGGCCGGCGUUCGUGGACGCGCUCGCAUCGACAUCGGCUCGUCACCCUCGGCAUCGGCGGCUUCGCCUCGUACAUCUAGCGUCCAUCCCGUCGCUGGAGGAGGAACUGAGUCGGGUGACCUCCAAGCUCGCCGCGGCGCAGGCAAGAGCGAGGGACAGCGAAGAGGAGAAGAAGAAGACGACGGCCGAACAGCUAGACAAGGCACGGCGAGAGACGGAGCGAGCCAAGGCGAGCGCACGAUCGAUGCAGGAGGAAGUCGCCGCGGGCAGGGAAGACACGCGCGUGGCUAGGGUGGCGGUCCAGGCCAGGGAGGCGCGGCUGAAGGCCAUGUCGCGGGAGGUGCUCGCCGCGAAGGCGUCGGCGGUGACCGCCGCGGCCGGUGCAGGAGCAGCACCACCGCGUCGCCCAUGGACUCGCCCAGCAGGAACCGAGGCAACGGCGUGGCUGGAAGGUCGCAAGCACACCGUCAUGGCCAGCAACAACUCCUCGCCGAUGUCCUAG
Molecule: ribosomal RNA, 540 nt
Filed under: Triticum aestivum (bread wheat)
Lineage: Eukaryota; Viridiplantae; Streptophyta; Magnoliopsida; Poales; Poaceae
Description: partial small subunit ribosomal RNA
Source: RNAcentral